Molecule: ribosomal RNA, 570 nt
Filed under: uncultured Bacteroidota bacterium
Lineage: Bacteria; Pseudomonadati; Bacteroidota
Description: bacterial SSU rRNA
Rfam family: Bacterial small subunit ribosomal RNA
Source: RNAcentral
CCCUGAGAGCGGCGCACGGGUGCGUAACGCGUAUGCAACCUGCCUUAUACAGGGGGAUAGCCCAUGGAAACGUGGAUUAAUAUCCCAUAGGAUUACGGAGUCGCAUGAUUUUGUGAUUAAAACUACGGUGGUAUAAGAUGGGCAUGCGUCUGAUUAGGUAGUUGGUAGGGUAACGGCCUACCAAGCCGACGAUCAGUAGGGGUUCUGAGAGGAUUACCCCCCACACUGGUACUGAGACACGGACCAGACUCCUACGGGAGGCAGCAGUGAGGAAUAUUGGUCAAUGGGCGAGAGCCUGAACCAGCCAUCCCGCGUGCAGGAUGACGGCCCUAUGGGUUGUAAACUGCUUUUCUGCUCCAAGAAACCUGAUUACGUGUAAUCAGUUGACGGUAGAGUAGGAAUAAGCAUCGGCUAACUCCGUGCCAGCAGCCGCGGUAAUACGGAGGAUGCAAGCGUUAUCCGGAUUCAUUGGGUUUAAAGGGUGCGCAGGUGGGAAUGUAAGUCAGUGGUGAAAUACUGCCGCUUAACGGUAGAGCUGCCAUUGAUACUGCGUUUCUUGAGUAUGGUUGA